AGCUCCAAUAGCGUAUAUUUAAGUUGUUGCAGUUAAAAAGCUCGUAGUUGGAUUUCGGGUGUGAACGACCGGUCCGCCAUUUUGGUGUGUACUGGUCGGUUGCUCCUUAUUGCCGAGGACGUGUUUCUGGCCUUCAUUGGCUGGGACACGGAGUCGGCAGCGUUACUUUGAGAAAAUUAGAGUGUUCAAAGCAGGCUAUCGCUCUGAAUACUACAGCAUGGAAUAACACGAUAGGACUCCGAGCCUAUUCUGUUGGUCUUCGGGACCGGAGUAAUGAUUAAGAGGGACAGUUGGGGGCAUUCGUAUUCCGUUGUCAGAGGUGAAAUUCUUGGAUUAACGGAAGACGAACAUCUGCGAAAGCAUUUGCCAAGGAUGUUUUCAUUAAUCAAGAACGAAAGUA
RNAcentral lists this ribosomal RNA (400 nucleotides) under phytoplankton environmental sample. Its description in RNAcentral is "partial small subunit ribosomal RNA". It matches the Rfam family "Eukaryotic small subunit ribosomal RNA", at positions 587 to 991 of the family's 1831-position model. The record is from RNAcentral.